UUUGAGACAUGAGAAGGGGAAUAAGAGAGUGAGGGAGUGUGCCACUGCCACUGCCAAUAUUGCAACUGUCCGCGCUUUUCUCUCUCUCCAGCAGCAGUUGUCUAUCGAAUUCGGAACGAACGAUUCUCGUGUGUGGAUGGUAUGGAGGAGGAAAAAUCAUGAAAGAUUUCAAUGCAGCAUUUUUAUUCAGGUUGCUAUAUAGACUAUAAGGUAUUAUGUUCAGUUGAUUGGGAAAAGUUAUAAAAUUGGUAUGAAUAAUAA
Molecule: non-coding RNA, 261 nt
Organism: Vigna umbellata (rice bean)
Lineage: Eukaryota; Viridiplantae; Streptophyta; Magnoliopsida; Fabales; Fabaceae
Source: RefSeq, a predicted model, not a curated record